CUCAACCUGGGAACGGCAUCCGGAACUGUCAGGCUAGAGUGCAGGAGAGGAAGGUAGAAUUCCCGGUGUAGCGGUGAAAUGCGUAGAGAUCGGGAGGAAUACCAGUGGCGAAGGCGGCCUUCUGGACUGACACUGACACUGAGGUGCGAAAGCGUGGGUAGCAAACAGGAUUAGAUACCCUGGUAGUCCACGCCGUAAACGAUGUCGACUAGCCGUUGGGUCCCUAGAGGACUUUGUGGCGCAGUUAACGCGAUAAGUCGACCGCCUGGGGAGUACGGCCGCAAGGUUAAAACUCAAAUGAAUUGACGGGGGCCCGCACAAGCGGUGGAGCAUGUGGUUUAAUUCGAUGCAACGCGAAGAACCUUACCUACCCUUGACAUCCUCGGAAGCCGACAGAGAUGUUGGUGUGCCUUCGGGAGCCG
Molecule: ribosomal RNA, 422 nt
Filed under: uncultured Gammaproteobacteria bacterium
Lineage: Bacteria; Pseudomonadati; Pseudomonadota; Gammaproteobacteria
Description: bacterial SSU rRNA
Rfam family: Bacterial small subunit ribosomal RNA
Source: RNAcentral